RNAcentral lists this ribosomal RNA (301 nucleotides) under uncultured bacterium. Its description in RNAcentral is "partial 16S ribosomal RNA". It matches the Rfam family "Bacterial small subunit ribosomal RNA", at positions 509 to 809 of the family's 1533-position model. The record is from RNAcentral.
CAGCAGCCACGGUAAUACGGAGGGCGCGAGCGUUACCCGGAUUUACUGGGCGUAAAGGGCGUGUAGGCGGCCUGGGGCGUCCCAUGUGAAAGGCCACGGCUCAACCGUGGAGGAGCGUGGGAUACGCUCAGGCUAGAGGGUGGGAGAGGGUGGUGGAAUUCCCGGAGUAGCGGUGAAAUGCGCAGAUACCGGGAGGAACGCCGAUGGCGAAGGCAGCCACCUGGUCCACUUCUGACGCUGAGGCGCGAAAGCGUGGGGAGCAAACCGGAUUAGAUACCCCUGUAGUCCCUGUCUCUUAUAA